UACGAAGGGAGCUAGCGUUGUUCGGAAUCACUGGGCGUAAAGCGUACGUAGGCGGAUGUGGCAGUCAGGGGUGAAAUCCCGGAGCUCAACUUCGGAACUGCCUCUGAUACAGCACGUCUUGAGUCCGAGAGAGGUGGGUGGAAUUCCUAGUGUAGAGGUGAAAUUCGUAGAUAUUAGGAAGAACACCGGUGGCGAAGGCGGCCCACUGGCUCGGUACUGACGCUGAGGUGCGAAAGCGUGGGGAGCAAACAGG
Molecule: ribosomal RNA, 253 nt
Filed under: uncultured bacterium
Lineage: Bacteria
Description: partial 16S ribosomal RNA
Rfam family: Bacterial small subunit ribosomal RNA
Source: RNAcentral